CCUACGGGAGGCAGCAGUGAGGAAUUUUCUGCAAUGGGCGCAAGCCUGACAGAGCAAUACCGCGUGAGGGAUGAAGGCCUAUGGGUUGUAAACCUCUUUUCUCAAGGAGGAAGAUCUGACGUUACUUGAGGAAUAAGCAUCGGCUAACCCUGUGCCAGCAGCCGCGGUAAUACAGGGGAUGCAAGUGUUAUCCGGAAUUAUUGGGCGUAAAGCGUCUGCAGGUGGAUAUUUAAGUCUUUUGUUAAAUCUCUGGGCUUAACCCGGAAACAGCAAAAGAAAC
Molecule: ribosomal RNA, 280 nt
Filed under: Epipyxis sp.
Lineage: Eukaryota; Chrysophyceae; Chromulinales; Dinobryaceae
Description: partial small subunit ribosomal RNA
Rfam family: Bacterial small subunit ribosomal RNA
Source: RNAcentral